UUUUCCUACGGGGGGCAGCAGUAGGGAAUCUUCCACAAUGGACGCAAGUCUGAUGGAGCAACGCCGCGUGAGUGAAGAAGGCUUUCGGGUCGUAAAACUCUGUUGUUGGAGAAGAAUGGUCGGCAGAGUAACUGUUGUCGGCGUGACGGUAUCCAACCAGAAAGCCACGGCUAACUACGAGCCAGCAGCCGCGGUAAUACGUAGGUGGCAAGCGUUAUCCGGAUUUAUUGGGCGUAAAGCGAGCGCAGGCGGUUUUUUAAGUCUGAUGUGAAAGACCUCGGCUUAACCGAGGAAGAGCAUCGGAA
This 305-nucleotide ribosomal RNA is filed under the name uncultured bacterium. RNAcentral's name for it is "bacterial SSU rRNA". It matches the Rfam family "Bacterial small subunit ribosomal RNA", at positions 334 to 631 of the family's 1533-position model. The record is from RNAcentral.